CCUACGGGAGGCAGCAGUGAGGAAUAUUGGUCAAUGGACGAGAGUCUGAACCAGCCAAGUAGCGUGAAGGAUGACUGCCCUAUGGGUUGUAAACUUCUUUUAUAUGGGAAUAAAAUGUUCCACGUGUGGGAUUUUGUAUGUACCAUAUGAAUAAGGAUCGGCUAACUCCGUGCCAGCAGCCGCGGUAAUACGGAGGAUCCGAGCGUUAUCCGGAUUUAUUGGGUUUAAAGGGAGCGUAGGUGGAUUGUUAAGUCAGUUGUGAAAGUUUGCGGCUCAACCGUAAAAUUGCAGUUGAAACUGGCAGUCUUGAGUACAGUAGAUGUGGGCGGAAUUCGUGGUGUAGCGGUGAAAUGCUUAGAUAUCACGAAGAACUCCGAUUGCGAAGGCAGUUCACUGGACUGCAACUGACACUGAGGCUCGAAAGUGUGGGUAUCAAACAGGAUUAGAUACCCCUGUAGUC
This 460-nucleotide ribosomal RNA is filed under the name uncultured bacterium. RNAcentral describes it as "partial 16S ribosomal RNA". It matches the Rfam family "Bacterial small subunit ribosomal RNA", at positions 338 to 795 of the family's 1533-position model. The record is from RNAcentral.